Molecule: ribosomal RNA, 1132 nt
Filed under: Triticum aestivum (bread wheat)
Lineage: Eukaryota; Viridiplantae; Streptophyta; Magnoliopsida; Poales; Poaceae
Description: partial small subunit ribosomal RNA
Source: RNAcentral
CCCGUCCACUCAUCCCGCUGCUAUCUCAUCCCCUACCUCUAGCACCGCACCUCAUCCCCUACCAACAACACGAGCACCCAAAUCAGAUCGCAUGAGAAAUCACCUCUGCUCCCCGCCUCCCUUUCUUGCAUCUAGAUCUGGUCGAGACGGGGCUCUGCUCGUCCACUCCACCCUUUGCUGAUGCGAGGAGUAAUCAGGGGCUGAUGCAACCCGGGGAAGCCAUGGCCGUCCAUCUCCUUGUCCUCCCCCUCGAUGAGGUUGGACGUUUUGCAACAGGUGAGGCUGGAGGUGGUGGCCACCGGUGAUGCGAUUUUGCUGCAAUCGGCACCGAAAAAGCUACCACCGGCGCCUGGAUUUGUUGCAUCCAGGAUCCACAAUUUUUGCUAGGAUCCAGGUUUUUUGAGUGAUGUUUUUGCUGCAACCAGUCCAAAAUUUUGCUACCAUCAUUUUGUUUUUUGCUACCACCGUUGGUAUCUUUUGAUUUCUUUUUGCUUAACUAGAUCCAUCUUUUUUGCUGGAAUCACUCAAACUUUUUGUUACCAUGGUCUUCGAUUUUUGCUACAGCCGUCUUGGUUUUUGCUACCAACCCGUUUUUGAUUUCUUUGCUGGAUCCAUCUUAUUUUUGCUGGAACCAAUCCAGGUUUUGCUACAAUGGUGUUUGAUUUUUGCUACCACUAUAUUUCAUUUUUGCUGGAACCGACACUACAAAUUGUUGCGUUGGGGCGGACUAGUGAGCACCGGUGCUACAACCUGCAAGCGGCUCCGAUGAGCGUCCCCGGCAAGCGCGCCGACGAGCAGCUCCGGCGAGCUGCUAGAGAGAGGCCUCAGGGCGGACCAGUGAGAACCGGUGCUACAACUGGCAAGCGGCCCCGGCGAGCACGCCGACGAGCGGGUCCGGCGAGCUGCUAGCGGGAGGCGCCGGGGCGGACCAGUGAGCACCGGUGCUGCAACGAGCAAGCGGCUCCGACGAGCGCGACGACGAGCGGCUCCGACGAGGGGCUCCGGCGAGCUGCUAGCAGGAGGCGGUGAGAUGUCAUGGAGUUGUACGUGAGCGAGGAGGGGAUUUUUUUUUCUUUUUUUCUACUCUAGAUCUGACGGUUACAUGUGCCUAUAUCCAACGGCUAGGGCUGGA